RNAcentral lists this ribosomal RNA (460 nucleotides) under uncultured bacterium. Its description in RNAcentral is "partial 16S ribosomal RNA". It matches the Rfam family "Bacterial small subunit ribosomal RNA", at positions 338 to 795 of the family's 1533-position model. The record is from RNAcentral.
CCUACGGGAGGCAGCAGUGAGGAAUAUUGGUCAAUGGACGAGAGUCUGAACCAGCCAAGUAGCGUGAAGGAUGACUGCCCUAUGGGUUGUAAACUUCUUUUAUAAAGGAAUAAAACGAGGCACGUGUGCCUUUUUGCAUGUACUUUAUGAAUAAGGAUCGGCUAACUCCGUGCCAGCAGCCGCGGUAAUACGGAGGAGCCGAGCGUUAUCCGGAUUUCUUGGGUUUAAAGGGAGCGUAGAUGGGUUGUUAAGUCAGUUGUGAAAGUUUGCGGCUCACCCGUAAAAUUGCAAUUGAUACUGGCAGUCUUGAGUACAGUUGAGGUAGGCGGAAUUCGUGGUGUAGCGGUGAAAUGCUUAGAUAUCACGAAGAACCCCGAUUGCGAAGGCAGCUUACUAAACUGUGACUAACAUUGAUGCUCGAAAGUGUGGGUAUCAAACAGGAUUAGAUACCCCAGUAGUC